Molecule: unclassified non-coding RNA, 410 nt
Filed under: fungal sp.
Lineage: Eukaryota; Fungi
Description: partial internal transcribed spacer region
Rfam family: Eukaryotic small subunit ribosomal RNA (bases 1-46)
Source: RNAcentral
AAGUCGUAACAAGGUUUCCGUAGGUGAACCUGCGGAAGGAUCAUUAACACAAUACUUUCUAUUAUCAAUAACCUUUGCGCACCUGUCGGAGCCUUCUUCAGCGGUGGGUCGACUAGAUCAUGGUUGGAAUGCGGUCUAGCCUGCUGUCAAGUUAGCCCGUCAUUGCAUUCUUCUUUCUCUUUCGAGAGAAGAGAGUGUCAUUGGCGAUCGGUCUAACGCCCCGUUAUCGAAGGUCAAACAGCCUCAGCCAUGGCUGUGCCCCCUUUUUUUUCUUUUUAACCUUGAAUUUUUGUACUGAUUUGGGCUUUUGGAUCGAGAGAAGCAAUUCUUUCUCUGAAGCUUUUGUCUGAAUGCUUGUCAUUCAUUCACUAACCAAAACACAACUCUUAACAGUGGAUAUCUCGGUUCUC